This 291-nucleotide ribosomal RNA is filed under the name Triticum aestivum (bread wheat). RNAcentral's name for it is "partial small subunit ribosomal RNA". Lineage: Eukaryota; Viridiplantae; Streptophyta; Magnoliopsida; Poales; Poaceae. The record is from RNAcentral.
AUGGUGAUUCAGAAGCUCUGCAUCCAUGACGUGGACACGUCCGCAUGGCACUUGUACGACUCCAUCAAGGAAUGGUGGGCGAGUUUGAGCGCCGAGGGCACCGCCAACCGAAAAGCGAAGGCUUCGAUAACCAUGUUGGUUUCAUGGGUGAUCUGGAAUGAGCAUAAUGCAAGGGUGUUUAGACAGAAGAGUGCCCCUCCGCAUGUUUUGCUAAACAAUGUGAUCGAAGAGUCUAACCUUUGGGUUAAAGCCGGGGCGAAAAAACUAGGGUCUUUCUUAUUGCGAGAGUAA